AAAGUCGUAACAAGGUCUCCGUUGGUGAACCAGCGGAGGGAUCAUUACAGAGUUGCAAAACUCCCUAAACCAUCGCGAACCCACCCCUAAACAGUUGCUUCGGCGGCGCCGGAGGCCCUACGGCCCGAGGCCCGCCGGGGACCCCCCAAACUCUUGUUUUUUCACAAAUGGCCUCUCUGAGUACUGUACUUUAAUAAGUCAAAACUUUCAACAACGGAUCUCUUGGUUCUG
Molecule: unclassified non-coding RNA, 231 nt
Filed under: Cladorrhinum foecundissimum
Lineage: Eukaryota; Fungi; Ascomycota; Sordariomycetes; Sordariales; Podosporaceae
Also listed under: 1 other name
Description: partial internal transcribed spacer region
Rfam family: Eukaryotic small subunit ribosomal RNA (bases 1-47)
Source: RNAcentral